CCUACGGGAGGCAGCAGUGAGGAAUAUUGGUCAAUGGGCGGGAGCCUGAACCAGCCAAGUCGCGUGAGGGAAGACGGUCCUAUGGAUUGUAAACCUCUUUAGGCGGGGAGCAAUGCCGGGCACGCGUGCCCGGAGGGAGAGUACCCGCAGAAUAAGCAUCGGCUAACUCCGUGCCAGCAGCCGCGGUAAUACGGAGGAUGCGAGCGUUAUCCGGAUUUAUUGGGUUUAAAGGGUGCGUAGGCGGAUUUUUAAGUCAGCGGUAAAAUGUCCGGGCUUAACCUGGGAAAGCCAUACAUGACUGCAAGACUAGAGUGCGUCAGAGGGGGGUGGAAUUCCAAGUGUAGCAGUGAAAUGCGUAGAUAUUUGGAAGAACACCGAUGGCGAAGGCAGCCCCCUGGGACGCAACUGACGCUCAUACACGAAAGCGUGGGGAGCAAACAGGAUUAGAGACCCGGGUAGUC
RNAcentral lists this ribosomal RNA (461 nucleotides) under uncultured bacterium. Its description in RNAcentral is "partial 16S ribosomal RNA". It matches the Rfam family "Bacterial small subunit ribosomal RNA", at positions 338 to 795 of the family's 1533-position model. The record is from RNAcentral.